This 253-nucleotide ribosomal RNA is filed under the name uncultured bacterium. RNAcentral describes it as "partial 16S ribosomal RNA". It matches the Rfam family "Bacterial small subunit ribosomal RNA", at positions 524 to 776 of the family's 1533-position model. The record is from RNAcentral.
UACGAAGGGGGCUAGCGUUGCUCGGAAUUACUGGGCGUAAAGGGCGCGUAGGCGGUUUGUACAGUCAGAUGUGAAAUUCCUGGGCUUAACCUGGGGGCUGCAUUUGAUACGUGCAGACUUGAGUGAGGAAGAGGGUUGUGGAAUUCCCAGUGUAGAGGUGAAAUUCGUAGAUAUUGGGAAGAACACCGGUGGCGAAGGCGGCAACCUGGUCCUUGACUGACGCUGAGGCGCGAAAGCGUGGGGAGCAAACAGG